This 1320-nucleotide unclassified non-coding RNA is filed under the name uncultured Neocallimastigales. Its description in RNAcentral is "partial contains small subunit ribosomal RNA, internal transcribed spacer 1, 5.8S ribosomal RNA, internal transcribed spacer 2, and large subunit ribosomal RNA". The stretch from base 583 to 1320 matches the Rfam family "Eukaryotic large subunit ribosomal RNA", at positions 1 to 617 of the family's 3401-position model. Lineage: Eukaryota; Fungi; Neocallimastigomycota; Neocallimastigomycetes; Neocallimastigales. The record is from RNAcentral.
UUUCCGUAGGUGAACCUGCGGAAGGAUCAUUAAAAAUGAGACCUGAUUUUCAAGGUCUAUUAAUAAUCCUACCCUUUGUGAAUUUGUUUGUUUAUAAUUUGUGUCUUUCCCUGUUUGAUGGAGCUUGUAAAAGCAAAGUCAAUCAGGGAAUGGCAAACUUUUUUUUAAAUUAACUUUUGUAUUCAUUUGUUUAAAAUUAUUUUUAUAAUAUAAAACAACUUUGACAAUGGAUCUCUUGGUUCUCGCAACGAUGAAGAACGCAGCAAAUGCGAUAAGUAGUGUGAAUUGCAGAAUACGUGAUCAUCGAAUCUUCGAACGCAUAUUGCACUUUUUGGUUUACAAAAAGUAUGUCUGUUUGAGUAUCAGUAAAAUAUUCUCAUAAAACUUUGUUUUUAUGGUUAUGAGUGUUUUACAACGAUAAACAGUUGUUUCACUUUAAAUUCUUUGACUUGAAAAAAAUCAUUAAAACUGAUUUUUUUUAAAUUGGAUAAAUUUUCCUGUAAAAAGGAAUAACCUAAACAAUUUUAAGAAAUUAUUAGUUUGAUUUUUUAAAAGUACUAAAGGAAAAAAGUAAAAUUAACUUGAUCUCAAAUCAGAUAAGAGUACCGCUGAACUUAAGCAUAUCAAUAAGCGGAGGAAAAGAAACUAACUAGGAUUCCCUCAGUAACGGCGAGUGAAGCGGAAGAGCUCAAAUUUGAAAUCUUCAAGGUUUACCUUGACGAAUUGUAGUUUAAAGAAGUGUUUUCUGUUGGAGUUUUGGUAAAAGUUCUUUGGAAUAGGACAUCAUAGAGGGUGAGAAUCCGUAUUUGACCAUUAUUUCCAACUUUGUGAUACACUUUCAAAGAGUCGGAUUGUUUGGGAAUGCAGUCCAAAUGGUGGUAAAUUUCAUCUAAAGCUAAAUACUGGCGAGAGACGAUAGCGAACAAGUACCGUGAGGGAAAGAUGAAAGAACUUUGAAAAGAGAGUUAAACAGUACGUGAAAUUGUCAAAAGGGAAGCGUUUGACACCAGUGUGUUUUCUCGAAAAUCAAUUAAAAUGGCGGAUUUUGUGUUGUAUUGACUUUAUCAGCUUCUGCACUUUUUCUGUCUUUUUAAUGCACUUUUCGUUUAACAAGUCAACAUCAAUUUCUUUUGUUGUAAAAGGGUAUUGGAAGGUGCUUUCUUUUCGGAGAAGUGUUUAUAGCCUUUGACUCUGCAAUCGGAGAGAUUGAGGUCUGCAGCGUAGAUCCUUCGGGUUAGAUGCAUUUGUGCUAAGUUAUAGCCUUUCAUAGACAACUUGUUGACUAUGAUCAGUCAUGUAGCUUACUCGCUUAUGUUAUUU